AGCGAACGCUGGCGGCAGGCCUAACACAUGCAAGUCGAACGAACCUUUCGGGGUUAGUGGCGGACGGGUGAGUAACACGUGGGAACGUGCCUUUAGGUUCGGAAUAACUCAGGGAAACUUGUGCUAAUACCGAAUGUGCCCUUCGGGGGAAAGAUUUAUCGCCUUUAGAGCGGCCCGCGUCUGAUUAGCUAGUUGGUUGAGGUAAUGGCUCACCAAGGCGACGAUCAGUAGCUGGUCUGAGAGGAUGAUCAGCCACAUUGGGACUGAGACACGGCCCAAACUCCUACGGGAAGCAGCAGUGGGGAAUCUUGCGCAAUGGGCGAAAGCCUGACGCAGCCAUGCCGCGUGAAUGAUGAAGGUCUUAGGAUUGUAAAAUUCUUUCACCGGGGACGAUAAUGACGGUACCCGGAGAAGAAGCCCCAGCUAACUUCGUG
This 434-nucleotide ribosomal RNA is filed under the name uncultured bacterium. Its description in RNAcentral is "partial 16S ribosomal RNA". It matches the Rfam family "Bacterial small subunit ribosomal RNA", at positions 29 to 507 of the family's 1533-position model. The record is from RNAcentral.